This 590-nucleotide ribosomal RNA is filed under the name uncultured bacterium. RNAcentral's name for it is "partial 16S ribosomal RNA". It matches the Rfam family "Bacterial small subunit ribosomal RNA", at positions 355 to 1375 of the family's 1533-position model. The record is from RNAcentral.
UGGGGAAUAUUGCACAAUGGGCGCAAGCCUGAUGCAGCCAUGCCGCGUGUGUGAAGAAGGCCUUCGGGUUGUAAAGCACUUUCAGCGAGGAGGAAGGUGGUGAGCUUAAUACGCUCAUCAAUUGACGUUACUCGCAGAAGAAGCACCGGCUAACUCCGUGCCAGCAGCCGCGGUAAUACGGAGGGUGCAAGCGUUAAUCGGAAUUACUGGGCGUAAAGCGCACGCAGGCGGUUUGUUAAGUCAGAUGUGAAAUCCCCGGGCUCAACCUGGGAACUGCAUUUGAAAACUGGCAAGCUAGAGUCUCGUAGAGGGGGUAGAAUUCCAGGUGUAGCGGUGAAAUGCGUAGAGAUCUGGAGGAAUACCGGUGGCGAAGGCGGCCCCCUGGACGAAGACUGACGCUCAGGUGCGAAAGCGUGGGGAGCAAAACAGGAUUAGAUACCCUGGUAGUCCACGCUGUAAAACGAUGUCGAUUUUGGAGGUUGUGCCCUUGAGGCGUGGCUUCCGGAGCUAACGCGUUAAAUCGACCGCCUGGGGAGUACGGCCGCAAGGUUAAAAACUCAAAUGAAUUGACGGGGUCAUAGCUGUUUCCU